CCUACGGGUGGCAGCAGUGGGGGAUAUUGCACAAUGGGGGAAACCCUGAUGCAGCAACGCCGCGUGAGUGAUGAAGGGCUUCGGCUCGUAAAGCUCUGUCUUCAGGGACGAAAAUGACGGUACCUGAAGAGGAAGCCACGGCUAACUACGUGCCAGCAGCCGCGGUAAUACGUAGGGGGCGAGCGUUGUCCGGAUUUACUGGGCGUAAAGGGGGCGGAGGCGGCAUUUUAAGUGAGAUGUGAAAGCCUCGGGCUCAACCCGAGUACUGCAUUUCGAACUGGGAGGCUAGAGUGCAGGAGAGGAGAAUGGAAUUCCUAGUGUAGCGGUGAAAUGCGUAGAGAUUAGGAAGAACACCAGUGGCGAAGGCGGCUUUCUGGACUGUAACUGACGCUGAGGCUCGAAAGCGUGGGGAGCAAACAGGAUUAGAUACCCGUGUAGUC
Molecule: ribosomal RNA, 440 nt
Filed under: uncultured bacterium
Lineage: Bacteria
Description: partial 16S ribosomal RNA
Rfam family: Bacterial small subunit ribosomal RNA
Source: RNAcentral